CGCCUCUUGUCUAUUAAUAAGAGGUCCAGCCUGCCCAGUGACCCUGUUCAACGGCCGCGGUAUCCUAACCGUGCGAAGGUAGCGUAAUCACUUGUUCUUUAAAUGAGGACUAGUAUGAAUGGCCCCACGAAGGCUACACUGUCUCCUUUUCUUAAUCAAUGAAACUAAUCUUCCCGUGAAGAAGCGGGAAUACAUAUAUAAGACGAGAAGACCCUAUGGAGCUUUAAACUAUCGAAACACUUGCUUUUUAUCUCUUACGCUCCUGAGCCCCUUUAAUUAUUCAAGCAUUUUUACUUCAAGUUUUAGGUUGGGGUGACCACGGAGCAAAACUUAACCUCCAUGAUGUAAGAGGCUUCACUCUUAGCCAAAAGCCACUUUUUUAAGCAUCAAUAAAUUGACUCUCAUUGACCCAAUUAUUUGAUCAACGAACCAAGUUACCCUAGGGAUAACAGCGCAAUCUACUUCAAGAGCUCAUAUCGACAAGUAGGUUUACGACCUCGAUGUUGGAUCAGGGUAUCCUAGUGGUGCAGCCGCUACUGAUGGUUCGUUUGUUCAACGAUUAAAACCCU
This 569-nucleotide ribosomal RNA is filed under the name Silverstoneia nubicola (Boquete rocket frog). RNAcentral's name for it is "partial 16S ribosomal RNA". It matches the Rfam family "Bacterial large subunit ribosomal RNA", at positions 1829 to 2597 of the family's 2925-position model. The record is from RNAcentral. Lineage: Eukaryota; Metazoa; Chordata; Amphibia; Anura; Dendrobatidae.